Molecule: transfer RNA, 73 nt
Filed under: Neolewinella agarilytica
Lineage: Bacteria; Pseudomonadati; Bacteroidota; Saprospiria; Saprospirales; Lewinellaceae
Description: Lewinella agarilytica tRNA
Rfam family: tRNA
About the family: Transfer RNA (tRNA) molecules are approximately 80 nucleotides in length. Their secondary structure includes four short double-helical elements and three loops (D, anti-codon, and T loops).
Source: Rfam by way of RNAcentral
ACAUUGGUGGUGUCAACUGGCAACACGACGGUUUCCAAGUCCGUAGUUCCGGGUUCAAAUCCUGGCCGAUGUG